CACAGGUGUUAUCAAGGGAAAUCAAAGUUUUUGUAACAGCUCGGACAGCGAUAAGCACAUUGCAUAACAGCAACCUCUGUAGAAGGCAUCUAUGAAAAACAUUUGUGUUGCAUAAGUGCAAAACAUGUUGAUUUUACAAGAUUUAUAGAUGACACAAUGAAAUAAAAUAGUGUCAGACAAGAGCUCCUGUUCUCCAGAAGCUUCGCAGGGCUAUUCCAGCGUGACAAUGAUCCAAAGUGUGGUCUGCAGAUAAAAUCAGACGUUGGUUUCUAGAGAAGAAAAAGUGAAACUCUGACCUGGACUAGUGUGUCACCUGCCUCGACUGCAACAGAACACCUCUCCAAAGAAAUUUAUGCAACGCUGGUCUCUCGUGUCAAGUAGGAUUGACUCUGUUGUGUAAAAGAAAGCUGGGCAUCUGAAAUAAGAGAGGAGAUGCUUGGUGAACCAUGUGCAACACUGUGCCCUGACUUCUGCUUUACCACAUGCUCAACCUGCCUGAUGAUGACGCUCCCAGCUUUAAACCCUCCAUAUUAUCUACCUACUGAGGGAGAAACGCAGGAUAAAUAUGCUGUCUGCAAUGAGUAUCACCGUGAAGGGAUCUCCUCACUCAGGACAAAGCUGCAGAAAGGCCACUGCAAUCUAAAACCUCUUCCUGCUUCACCCGGCAUCACCGGCAGGUAGUUGGUGCUGUCUCAGAGAGUCAUUUUACAAGCGCCGCUCAAUACACCUCUCUUUGCAUUCGUCUUGAAGAGGCCUUUCCAUUUUUCAAACUGGCAUCCACAUAAAGGCAACUUUCACCCAGCCCUCUGCAAAAGGCCAAAAACCAUACGGGUCACGGUUUAUACUUUAACUGUAUUGCAUGUUGCAACAUAAGCAUGUUGUGCAAAAGAAAGAGGAGCGUUGUGGCGAAAUAGGUCAGGGGUUUCUUUACUUUGUAACACUACACUUGAUGUAAAGGGGGUUGCCGCACAUCUAUGAGUCUCUGUGUGUACGUGUGUGGGGUUGUGCUUGUUUUCCUCUCCAUGUGACCCAUUUGCUGAUCGACCACAGUGUUCCCCACUCUGGUGGUGUUUCCAUGCCAACGCCGCCAGUGGCAAGACAAAAGAUGAGGACUCACUUGGUCUUGAUCAAAGGGAGCACUGUUUCAGUCUGUUGCUCGUGCUGUCUAGUAUGUUCUGAAACUGACUGCAUACCUAGAGAUGUAAAAAAGGAUAUAUCACAGAACAGUGAUUUCCAUUCUUUUUCAUCAGCUUCCCACCUAGAGCGCUGUCAGCUGAUCUACAGCACCACUACUUCAGCACCUCCACUAAUGCUCCACAUUUAUUAUAAUUGAAUGUUAUUUUUACCCCAUUAUUUUGAAUUUUUUUCAAUACUUUUUUUUUAAAUGACAUGCACCACUUGGCAAUUCAGUUCAGCCACACAUUAAAUGCUAAAAGCUAGAUGUUUCGGCUAUCUACUGUGCAGUAUUUUAGUGUUUGUCCAUUGUGCAAACACUGAAAAGUUCAAAAUAUUCAACAAAACACAUUCAGCUAUUUAUUCUUACUUUUAGCUUGCAUAAAAUGCUUGUAUGUAUCAGUGUAGUUCAACAAUGUUUCGUGUUUUUCAACUAUUUCUUAAUUAUCACUCCGUUUAGAAACCCAUCACAGUUAUGAGCUGUCAAGUUCACAUUUAUUCAAAAUAAAUGGAAAAAACACAUUUCAAAGUCACUUAUUUCUUUUCUGGGUUUUAAACACUAACAUUUAUAAUGUAUAUUUUUAACAAAUGCAUGUGUAUAGGUGUCUCACUAGCUAUUCAGCUGAUAUGUGUGUAUAUAUAUGUUACGUGCCACCUCAGGGUGUUGGUUCAGUUGUUGUGUUGUGUUUUUUUUAUUGUCACCCUCAUUAACCUGCUCUCUCCCUCCUCUGAUUUAUUCUUAGUGUCGAUUGGUGUCUUAAGGCUUGGUGCACAGAUAUAAACCUGGAAAAGGCGGACCAUGGUGGUUCUCUUGGUCCUUCACUCCUCCUACCUUGUUUCUAUCAGCACCGCCUUAAACCCCCUGUUGCUUUCACCAGCACUACUGUUUAGGUUUUGGUUUCUAUUAGUCUAGUUUUCCAGGACUAAUUUAGGGGAGAAGCUUGAAUCUGACGGC
Molecule: long non-coding RNA, 2128 nt
Organism: Oreochromis aureus
Lineage: Eukaryota; Metazoa; Chordata; Actinopteri; Cichliformes; Cichlidae
Source: Ensembl